GGAGAUAUAGCUUAAGUAGUAGAGUGCAUGCUUAGGAUGCAUGAGGUCCUGGGUUCAAUCCCCACUCCCUUCU
Molecule: transfer RNA, 73 nt
Filed under: Camelus bactrianus (Bactrian camel)
Lineage: Eukaryota; Metazoa; Chordata; Mammalia; Artiodactyla; Camelidae
Also listed under: 2 other names
Rfam family: tRNA
About the family: Transfer RNA (tRNA) molecules are approximately 80 nucleotides in length. Their secondary structure includes four short double-helical elements and three loops (D, anti-codon, and T loops). Further hydrogen bonds mediate the characteristic L-shaped molecular structure. tRNAs have two regions of fundamental functional importance: the anti-codon, which is responsible for specific mRNA codon recognition, and the 3' end, to which the tRNAs corresponding amino acid is attached (by aminoacyl-tRNA synthetases). tRNAs cope with the degeneracy of the genetic code in two manners: having more than one tRNA (with a specific anti-codon) for a particular amino acid; and 'wobble' base-pairing, i.e. permitting non-standard base-pairing at the 3rd anti-codon position.
Source: Rfam by way of RNAcentral